CCGUGAUGAACUAACCGUCUGUCGCUGGGGAGGAGUUCCGAUAGGGCCAAAACGCGCAACCCAUUUGUUUCUCGUUUCAAAGCAAAAGCAAGACAAAUGAGAAAAUAGGUGAUACUAAUAGCACUUAGAUUUAUUAACAUUUGUUUUUACUAUUUGAAUACAUAAAAAAAUAACAAAAUAAAGCUCAAUAUGACCUAGUGACCGGUAACGAGUUUUCUGGAGGCUAGCUACUUUUUUUAUAUUAAAAACAUAAAUCUAAACAGUUUCACGAUUAUUAUUUUUAUAAUGUUUAUUAUACUUAUAUCAGUUUACUCUUUAUAAGCAUUUUGAACUUUUUUUUUAUUGUAUUUACUAUUAACAGUUUAGUUAAGGAUUAGUAGUUUCGAUGAACCCUUCUGAGUAACUAAUCUUAAAAGUCAUAGCAAGGUAGCUUGUACUGGAA
Molecule: ribosomal RNA, 442 nt
Filed under: Agrocybe praecox
Lineage: Eukaryota; Fungi; Basidiomycota; Agaricomycetes; Agaricales; Agrocybaceae
Description: partial small subunit ribosomal RNA
Source: RNAcentral